CGGGUGAGUAACACGUGAGCAAUCUGCCCCUGACUCUGGGAUAAGCGCUGGAAACGGCGUCUAAUACCGGAUACGAGCUGCGACCGCAUGGUCAGUAGCUGGAAAGAAUUUCGGUCAGGGAUGAGCUCGCGGCCUAUCAGCUUGUUGGUGAGGUAAUGGCUCACCAAGGCGUCGACGGGUAGCCGGCCUGAGAGGGUGACCGGCCACACUGGGACUGAGACACGGCCCAGACUCCUACGGGAGGCAGCAGUGGGGAAUAUUGCACAAUGGGCGAAAGCCUGAUGCAGCAACGCCGCGUGAGGGAUGACGGCCUUCGGGUUGUAAACCUCUUUUAGCAGGGAAGAAGCGAAAGUGACGGUACCUGCAGAAAAAGCGCCGGCUAACUACGUGGGCGGGGGCCGCGGUAAUACGUAGGGCGCAAGCGUUAUCCGGAAUUAUUGGGCGUAAAGAGCUCGUAGGCGGUCUGUCGCGUCUGCUGUGAAAACCCGAGGCUCAACCUCGGGCCUGCAGUGGGUACGGGCAGACUAGAGUGCGGUAGGGGAGAUUG
RNAcentral lists this ribosomal RNA (547 nucleotides) under Microbacterium sp. SMR1. Its description in RNAcentral is "bacterial SSU rRNA". It matches the Rfam family "Bacterial small subunit ribosomal RNA", at positions 103 to 663 of the family's 1533-position model. Lineage: Bacteria; Bacillati; Actinomycetota; Actinomycetes; Micrococcales; Microbacteriaceae. The record is from RNAcentral.